CAUCGAUCUGGCUCGAUUGACGCUGGCGGCAGGCUUAACACAUGCAAGUCGAGCGGUAGCACAGGGGAGCUUGCUCCCCGGGUGACGAGCGGCGGACGGGUGAGUAAUGUCUGGGAAACUGCCUGAUGGAGGGGGAUAACUACUGGAAACGGUAGCUAAUACCGCAUAACGUCGCAAGACCAAAGAGGGGGACCUUCGGGCCUCUUGCCAUCAGAUGUGCCCAGAUGGGAUUAGCUAGUAGGUGGGGUAAUGGCUCACCUAGGCGACGAUCCCUAGCUGGUCUGAGAGGAUGACCAGCCACACUGGAACUGAGACACGGUCCAGACUCCUACGGGAGGCAGCAGUGGGGAAUAUUGCACAAUGGGCGCAAGCCUGAUGCAGCCAUGCCGCGUGUGUGAAGAAGGCCUUCGGGUUGUAAAGCACUUUCAGCGAGGAGGAAGGUGGUGAGCUUAAUACGCUCAUCAAUUGACGUUACUCGCAGAAGAAGCACCGGCUAACUCCGUGCCAGCCGCCGCGGUAAUUCGUCGUGACUGAAACACCCCUCUGGCGAA
RNAcentral lists this ribosomal RNA (551 nucleotides) under Serratia sp. LJJZ. Its description in RNAcentral is "bacterial SSU rRNA". It matches the Rfam family "Bacterial small subunit ribosomal RNA", at positions 37 to 537 of the family's 1533-position model. The record is from RNAcentral. Lineage: Bacteria; Pseudomonadati; Pseudomonadota; Gammaproteobacteria; Enterobacterales; Yersiniaceae.